This 1016-nucleotide long non-coding RNA is filed under the name Carica papaya (papaya). RNAcentral describes it as "long non-coding RNA (CPAP_LNC016267)". Lineage: Eukaryota; Viridiplantae; Streptophyta; Magnoliopsida; Brassicales; Caricaceae. The record is from RNAcentral.
UUAGAAAAUGGCGAAACAGGAGAAAACCUGCCCGUAGGAAAAAUCCCUCGAGAAAGCAGUUUGUCCGCGUGGGUACUGGGCACUACGCACGCACGCAUCGGCGUACAAUGGCCGCAAGGCAUGUGUACAACGCGCACGACCCAUCCACACGCACGCACGCACGUCCCAUCCACUGCCUUAGUUGGCGCGUCCCCACCGCAGGGGGAGGAAAUUUUCCUCCCUUGUUUUUCGUGCCAAGAAUCUUUUCUCCUCUUUCUUCCCCAAAUUUCACCACUUGGCACAAAUUCAAUGGAUCUGAAAUUCUAUAAAUUUUUCUUCUCCUUCCGUUCCUCUCUACACUUCCAUUUCUUCUAUUUCUCAAAGGUUUAGAGAGAGAGAGAUAGUAAAGUAGUGAGAGAAGAAGAGAAAGAAAGGAAACGGUGAAGAAGAAAACACCAAGGUUUUGUAAGGAAUCUAGUAUUACUUUUGAUGUUUUAAGUAGUAUUUGUGGAUAAAUAAAUUUAAUAUGAUUGUUAUUUUAUCUGUUUUGCAUGCCUCUAUGUUCAAAUGAGUCGAAUUAUUCUGAUUUUUAAGUAUGCUAUGUGAAUUACUAACACUUGAUGAAUUUGUAUGUAAUAUAUAUAAUAUGUAGUCCGUAAUAAAAAAAAAUAAAAAAAAAAGAGAAAAAUAGAAUGAUGCCUUUAUGGUCCGAAAUGUCUCUGUAUCGACAUGCAUAUUGCAUCAAGUGUCUCGUUAGGAUUUUUAUCUCUGAGGGGUAUCUGUUCCCCUUAUCCUUCAGGUUAUCUUUUUCACCCUCCCCUAUCUGGUCUGGAAAGACGUAAGAGGACUGCUCCCAGUGGAUAACAGCAUGCCCUAUGACGAGAGUGGUAUCGCACUAUCUGUAGGAGAUCACACAUUACUGAGUAAUAUCGUGACUAUAGAUAUCUGUUAGGACCACUAUGGUUGGUACGACUGUGGUCAUAGAUCGUAGCAUGGUUUGGCCAGCUGGAAAUGAGCCGAAGCAAAUUGUCGUAUCU